Molecule: ribosomal RNA, 253 nt
Filed under: uncultured bacterium
Lineage: Bacteria
Description: partial 16S ribosomal RNA
Rfam family: Bacterial small subunit ribosomal RNA
Source: RNAcentral
UACGUAGGUGGCAAGCGUUGUCCGGAAUUACUGGGCGUAAAGCGUGCGCAGGCGGUGAUGUAAGACAGAUGUGAAAUCCCCGGGCUCAACCUGGGAACUGCAUUUGUGACUGCAUCGCUGGAGUACGGCAGAGGGGGACGGAAUUCCGCGUGUAGCAGUGAAAUGCGUAGAUAUGCGGAGGAACACCGAUGGCGAAGGCAAUCCCCUGGGCCUGUACUGACGCUCAUGCACGAAAGCGCGGGGAGCGAACGGG